GGGGGAUCAAGUAUUGGUAUCAGUAGAUGAGAUGUUAGGAUCGGGGUCUCAUACGAAUGAGCAAGUAUUGGAAUCGGUACGUGAGAUGUUAGGAUCAGGACUUGAUUCAAACGGUCAGCAGAUUACUGUAGUACCCAGUUCUAAUAGUGUGUUGAUUGACCAGCCUUUAGCGAUUGGGCAAGAGUUCCCGGAUGUUGAUACUUGUAGAAGGACUUUGAAAGAGAUAGCGAUAUCGUUGCAUUUUGAAAUUCGAAUAGUAAAGUCAGAUAGGAGUAGAUUCAUAGCUAAGUGCUCCAAAGAGGGUUGUCCG
RNAcentral lists this unclassified non-coding RNA (310 nucleotides) under Hevea brasiliensis (rubber tree). Lineage: Eukaryota; Viridiplantae; Streptophyta; Magnoliopsida; Malpighiales; Euphorbiaceae. The record is from RNAcentral.